ACCAGACGAUGCGGGAUCGAAGAUGAUUAGAUACCAUCGUAGUCCAUACCGUAAACGAUGCCGACUCGCGAUCGUUUCCCGGCUCUCGAAGCGGGAGGCGGCAGCGCAUGAGAAAUCAAAGUCUUUGGGUUCCGGGGGGAGUAUGGUCGCAAGGCUGAAACUUAAAGGAAUUGACGGAAGGGCACCACCAGGAGUGGAGCCUGCGGCUUAAUUUGACUCAACACGGGGAAACUUACCAGGUCCAGACAUAGGAAGGAUUGACAGAUUGAGAGCUCUUUCUUGAUUCUAUGGGUGGUGGUGCAUCGCCGUUCUUAGUUGGUGGAGUGAUUUGUCUGGUUGAUUCCGUUAACGAACGAGACCACAGCCUACUAAAUAGUGCGCGUUGUGGCGACACAGUGAGGAGGCACUUCUUAGAGGGACACUUUGGGUUUACCGGAAGGAAGUUCGUG
This 449-nucleotide ribosomal RNA is filed under the name Schizochytrium sp. RNAcentral's name for it is "SSU rRNA". It matches the Rfam family "Eukaryotic small subunit ribosomal RNA", at positions 983 to 1449 of the family's 1831-position model. The record is from RNAcentral. Lineage: Eukaryota; Bigyra; Thraustochytrida; Thraustochytriidae.